CUCCUGAGGUGGAGGUAGACAACUCACCGCCGGAGGCAGUGGUCACCGGGGACCUAGGUCGCCAUCGGAGCUCCUUCCGGAGAUAGUCGUCAGCAUGAGAGUCCGGAGAUAGUCGUCAGCAUGAGAGUCCGGAGAUAGUCGUCAGCAUGAGAGUCCGGAGAUAGUCGUCAGCAGUAGAGUGUCAGCAGUCCGACAGCCAGCAGGCAGCCGGAACGGAAGGCUGCGGCUGUGAGACAGGAUUUGCUUGUUAGUUCGUUUGUUAGAGUGUAUCACAUGGCAGAGUUGCAUGUGUACGGUAGUAUGAGACGCAUUCCAAUCACCCCGAACAAACACUUUCGUACCUGCAUGCCCGCGCGGUGAGAAGGUACGGCGCAUCGCCACGUUUACGAGUGGGUCUUCCGAGUUAGGCAACAUGCG
This 417-nucleotide long non-coding RNA is filed under the name Chlamydomonas reinhardtii. RNAcentral describes it as "long non-coding RNA (CREI_LNC000560)". Lineage: Eukaryota; Viridiplantae; Chlorophyta; Chlorophyceae; Chlamydomonadales; Chlamydomonadaceae. The record is from RNAcentral.